This 253-nucleotide ribosomal RNA is filed under the name uncultured bacterium. Its description in RNAcentral is "partial 16S ribosomal RNA". It matches the Rfam family "Bacterial small subunit ribosomal RNA", at positions 524 to 776 of the family's 1533-position model. The record is from RNAcentral.
UACGAGAGGCCCAAACGUUAUUCGGAAUUACUGGGCUUAAAGAGUUCGUAGGCGGCAUGAAAAGUAGGGUGUGAAAGCCCUCGGCUCAACCGAGGAAUUGCGCUCUAAACUGUCGUGCUAGAGGAACCUAGAGGUGAGCAGAACUGAUGGUGGAGCGGUGAAAUGCGUAGAUAUCGGAAGGAACAUCAGUGGCGAAAGCGGCUUCCUGGACCAGUACCGACGUUCAGGCACGAAAGCGUGGGGAGCAAACAGG